This 462-nucleotide ribosomal RNA is filed under the name uncultured bacterium. Its description in RNAcentral is "bacterial SSU rRNA". It matches the Rfam family "Bacterial small subunit ribosomal RNA", at positions 917 to 1382 of the family's 1533-position model. The record is from RNAcentral.
GGGCCCGCACAAGCAGCGGAGCAUGUGGUUUAAUUCGAAGCAACGCGAAGAACCUUACCUAGACUUGACAUCUCCUGAAUAGUGCAGAGAUGCAUGAAGCCCUUCGGGGCAGGAAGACAGGUGGUGCAUGGUUGUCGUCAGCUCGUGUCGUGAGAUGUUGGGUUAAGUCCCGCAACGAGCGCAACCCCUAUUAUUAGUUGCUACCAUUAAGUUGAGCACUCUAAUAAGACUGCCGUGGUUAACGCGGAGGAAGGUGGGGAUGACGUCAAAUCAUCAUGCCCCUUAUGUCUAGGGCUACACACGUGCUACAAUGGGCAGUACAAAGAGAUGCAAUACCGCGAGGUGGAGCCAAACUCAAAAACUGUUCCCAGUUCGGAUUGUAGGCUGCAACUCGCCUACAUGAAGCCGGAGUUGCUAGUAAUCGCGAAUCAGCAUGUCGCGGUGAAUACGUUCCCGGGCCUU